Molecule: transfer RNA, 72 nt
Filed under: Candidatus Nealsonbacteria bacterium CG08_land_8_20_14_0_20_36_22
Lineage: Bacteria; Candidatus Nealsoniibacteriota
Also listed under: 1 other name
Description: tRNA-Arg
Rfam family: tRNA
About the family: Transfer RNA (tRNA) molecules are approximately 80 nucleotides in length. Their secondary structure includes four short double-helical elements and three loops (D, anti-codon, and T loops). Further hydrogen bonds mediate the characteristic L-shaped molecular structure. tRNAs have two regions of fundamental functional importance: the anti-codon, which is responsible for specific mRNA codon recognition, and the 3' end, to which the tRNAs corresponding amino acid is attached (by aminoacyl-tRNA synthetases). tRNAs cope with the degeneracy of the genetic code in two manners: having more than one tRNA (with a specific anti-codon) for a particular amino acid; and 'wobble' base-pairing, i.e. permitting non-standard base-pairing at the 3rd anti-codon position.
Source: RNAcentral
GUCCCUGUAGUUCAAUGGACAGAACAGGGGUCUCCGGAGCCUCAGAUGCAGGUUCGAUUCCUGCUAGGGACA